Long non-coding RNA from Leptinotarsa decemlineata (Colorado potato beetle), 585 nucleotides. NCBI's taxonomy places the organism in Eukaryota, Metazoa, Arthropoda, Insecta, Coleoptera, Chrysomelidae. The record is from RefSeq and is a predicted model, not a curated record.
AAAGCCAUCCAUAUCGUGAACCAGCCGUACGUCUUCAAAAUAGUGUUCGCUCUCUUCAAGCCGUUCCUCAGAGAGAAACUGAGGAGCCGUCUCUACUUCCACGGCACUGACCGCAAAUCCCUGCAUCAACACGUCAGCCCGAAGUGCUUGCCCGAAAAUUACGGAGGCACCCUCGAUUUGCCCAGGAUCGACGGGAAGCAGUGGUUGGAACUGCUUGAGAAGUGCGACAAGGAAUAUGUCGCUAUCAAUUCCUUUGGAUACAACAAGAAGAGGGAGCUUUAGAGAAAAAAAAAGGGUCUUCCAUCGAACAUUCCCAAAUUAUUCGUAGUCAGAAACAUUGGAAACAUUAUUUAUUUUUGUAAUGAGUAGCGGUAUUUUAGUUGGAUGAGUAAGUUGGACGGCAGCAGUUUUGAUAUUUUGUUGGUUCGGAGAAAAUCGACGGAAGCUACUGCUUUGCCGCAAUAUUUCGUACAAGCCCGUGUACUUAUGAUAUAUUUUGUGAUACAACUACCAUCACUGUAUAAUACAUGCAUUUGUAAUGUACUUAUAUAUUUCAGAUGAAUUCAUUAUAAUUUUGUUUUAAAA